UACAGAGGUCCCAAGCGUUGCUCGGAAUGACUGGGCGUAAAGGGCGCGUAGGCGGCUUACAUAGUCAGGCGUGAAAUUCCUGGGCUCAACCUGGGGGCUGCGUUUGAUACGUGUAGGCUUGAGUUCGGAAGAGGGUCGUGGAAUUCCCAGUGUAGAGGUGAAAUUCGUAGAUAUUGGGAAGAACACCGGUGGCGAAGGCGGUGACCUGGUCCGAAACUGACGCUGAGGCGCGAAAGCGUGGGGAGCAAACAGG
Molecule: ribosomal RNA, 253 nt
Filed under: uncultured bacterium
Lineage: Bacteria
Description: partial 16S ribosomal RNA
Rfam family: Bacterial small subunit ribosomal RNA
Source: RNAcentral